GACGAACGCUGGCGGUGUGCUUAACACAUGCAAGUCGAACGGUAAGGCCCUUUCGGGGGUACACGAGUGGCGAACGGGUGAGUAACACGUGAGUAACCUGCCCUCAUCUCUGGGAUAACAGUCGGAAACGGUUGCUAAUACUGGAUAUGAGCUUGCAAGGCAUCUUGUGGGUUGGAAAGAUUUUUUUUGGUUGGAGAUGGACUCGCGGCCUAUCAGCUUGUUGGUGAGGUAGUGGCUCACCAAGGCUUCGACGGGUAGCCGGCCUGAGAGGGCGACCGGCCACAUUGGGACUGAGAUACGGCCCAAACUCCUACGGGAGGCAGCAGUGGGGAAUAUUGCACAAUGGACGGAAGUCUGAUGCAGCAACGCCGCGUGCGGGAUGACGGCCUUCGGGUUGUAAACCGCUUUCAAUUGUGACGAAGCUUUUUUGUGACGGUAGCAGUAGAAGAAGCACCGGCUAACUACGUG
This 468-nucleotide ribosomal RNA is filed under the name uncultured bacterium. Its description in RNAcentral is "partial 16S ribosomal RNA". It matches the Rfam family "Bacterial small subunit ribosomal RNA", at positions 28 to 507 of the family's 1533-position model. The record is from RNAcentral.